CAGUCGCCACGGUAAUACGGAGGGAGCUAGCGUUAUUCGGAAUUACUGGGCGUAAAGCGCACGUAGGCGGCUUUGUAAGUUAGAGGUGAAAGCCUGGAGCUCAACUCCAGAAUUGCCUUUAAGACUGCAUCGCUUGAAUCCAGGAGAGGUGAGUGGAAUUCCGAGUGUAGAGGUGAAAUUCGUAGAUAUUCGGAAGAACACCAGUGGCGAAGGCGGCUCACUGGACUGGUAUUGACGCUGAGGUGCGAAAGCGUGGGGAGCAAACAGGAUUAGAUACCCCAGUAGUCCCUGUCUCUUAUAC
Molecule: ribosomal RNA, 301 nt
Filed under: uncultured bacterium
Lineage: Bacteria
Description: partial 16S ribosomal RNA
Rfam family: Bacterial small subunit ribosomal RNA
Source: RNAcentral